RNAcentral lists this ribosomal RNA (137 nucleotides) under uncultured bacterium. RNAcentral describes it as "partial 16S ribosomal RNA". It matches the Rfam family "Bacterial small subunit ribosomal RNA", at positions 355 to 509 of the family's 1533-position model. The record is from RNAcentral.
UGGGGAAUAUUGCACAAUGGGGGAAACCCUGAUGCAGCGACGCCGCGUGAGUGAAGAAGUAUUUCGGUACGUAAAGCUCUAUCAGCAGGGAAGAAAAUGACGGUACCUGAUUAAGAAGCCCCGGCUAACUACGUGCC